AAGAGAGAGUUCAAAAGUACGUGAAACCGUUUAGGGGUAAACGGAAAAGAACUAAAAAUCCGAAAAGGGAGAUUCACGUCUUCUCAUAUGUUAAAUAUAAUAUUUUUUAGGAUAAUUAAUAAUAUAAUACUUUUGUAUUAUUUUUAUUAAUCGCCUUUAAUUNGUUAUAAAUAGCAAUGGUAGACCGCACUUCUCUCUUAGUAAGUCAUUUGGUUAAAAAACCAAAAGGCAUAACAAAAGUAAAGUAAGCUUUGCUUAAUUAGGGAGGAUAAUUAUUAACAAUAUACUUGUUAUAAUUCGCACUCCCGGGGCGUCUAUUACUUAUUGCAAGUAAAGGCGCACCUAGAGCGUACACGUUGGGACCCGAAAGAUGGUGAACUAUGCCUGGCCAGGAUGAAGCCAGGGGAAACCCUGGUGGAGGUCCGUAGCGAUUCUGACGUGCAAAUCGAUCGUCAGAGCUAGGUAUAGGGGCGAUAGACUUAUCGAACUAUCUAGUAGCUGGUUCCUUCCGAAGUUUCCCUCAGGAUAGCUGGUGCCAAUGAUGAUACGAGUCUCAUCUGGUAAAGCGAAUGAUUAGAGGCCUUGGGGCCGAAACGACCUCAACCUAUUCUCAAACUUUAAAUGGAUGAGAGCCUUGGCUUGCUUAAAAGUGAAGCCAAGGACUUGGAUCUAGGUGCCAAGUGGGCCAAUUUUGG
This 695-nucleotide ribosomal RNA is filed under the name Hoplonannus sp. UCR ENT 00081277. RNAcentral's name for it is "partial large subunit ribosomal RNA". It matches the Rfam family "Eukaryotic large subunit ribosomal RNA", at positions 379 to 1140 of the family's 3401-position model. The record is from RNAcentral. Lineage: Eukaryota; Metazoa; Arthropoda; Insecta; Hemiptera; Schizopteridae.